Molecule: non-coding RNA, 19753 nt
Organism: Gasterosteus aculeatus aculeatus (three-spined stickleback)
Lineage: Eukaryota; Metazoa; Chordata; Actinopteri; Perciformes; Gasterosteidae
Source: RefSeq, a predicted model, not a curated record
CAGUCCACUGGUCCUGAUGAUGAUGAUGGCGGCGAUGGAGGAGCAGCGCUGAGUUCACUCUCCGGGUUUUGGCUCCCCUCUUCCAUUCAUUCUUUUAUGGUUAUAUCACAAAAGACAACAUAGUGACAUAGAACGCGACGCCGCCGGUUUGACCUACUGCCUCUCUCCGCCUCCCUCCCGUCUCCGGAGACGAGCCCGAGAUGGGGAACGAAGCGAGCAUGGAGGGCGGCGGGCAGCCCGGCGACCCGGGAGCAGCCGGGAUGAUGGGGCCGGUUAUGCCUGGAGGACCCGCGACAGCACCGGGGGCAGGACAGCACAUGAAGCCGGUCAACGGAAUCGCUGCCGGGGGAGGGAUGGGCAUCGGAGGCCCCGGGAUGGGAAUGAGGGGUCCGAUGGGUCCGAUGGGUAGCCCCAAGCCUGGGAUGCAACAAGGAGGCCACGGAGGAGGAGGAAUGGGAGGUGGAGGUGGAAUGGGAGGUGGAGGUGGAAUGGGAGGAGCAGGAGGUAGAGGAAUGGGAGGAAUAGGAGGUAUGGGAAGUAUGGGAGUAGGAAUGGGCGCAGGUGGAGGAGGAGGGUCCAGACCCGGGGAGCCCUACCGCCUGGCCACUCACGAGACUCCGACUUCCCCCCGACACAUGCAGUCAACCCAGGGGCCCGGCAUGGGGCCCGGAAUGGGGCCCGGCCCCGGGACGGGUCACGGCCCAGCCGGGUCCAGCGCGGUAGGCCACGGAGGUCAUCCGAGUCCCGGGCAGCACGCCUCCCGCCGAAACCUCCAAGUCGACUUCAGCGGCUCGGGCGGCUCCAGGAGAGGCCGCUCUCCGUCCGGGUCUCCCGAUCGCGGCGUGACGCCCACCUCGCCCUACUCGGUGCCGCAGAUCGCGCCCAUGCCGAGCAGCAAACUGUGCCCGGUGUGCAGCAGCACGCAGCUGUCCAACCCGCCGGCUCCACCCAACUACAACACCUGCACCCAGUGCAAGUCCACCGUCUGCAACCAGUGUGGAUUCAACCCCAACCCGCACCUCACUGAGGUCCAGGAGUGGCUGUGUCUGAACUGUCAGAUGCAAAGAGCUCUUGGCAUUGAUAUGACCACGCCUCGAUCUAAGAGCCAACAGCAGAUUCACUCUCCGUCCCACCAAGCCAAACCCAUCGUUCAGCCUCAGCAGCCUACACCUCAGCCAACACAGCCAGCAGCAGCGGCACCGUCCAAACCUUUGGCACAGAGUCAGCCCAGCCAACGCCAACUGCAGCAGCAGCAGCAUCAUCCACAGCAACAGCAGCAACAACAGCAGCAUCAUCCACAGCAGCAUCCACAACAUCAGCAGCAUCAGUCUCAGCCUUACAGCCAGAGCCAACCCUACUCCCAGUCCCAGCCAUACUCCCAGCCCCAGCAGUAUCCCCAGUCUCAGCCCCAGUCGUACCCUGGGUCCAAGUCAGGGCCCCAGGCUCCGCCUCAUACCUCUCCAGGCUUGCAGAGACACUCAGGCCCUGGCGGCUCCCAGACUCAGACAGGGUCCCUUCAGCAGGGCAUGCGGUCAGACCCGUACUCUCAGAGAGAUACCGGGGCUCCGGGAGCUGUCGGUGUCCCUACAGGAGGUCCCAACCAGCCUGGGGGUCCACGGAUUCCCCACCCCGGCGCCGUGCCCCUCCCCGGCUUGGCCAGGGCUCCGUCCCAGCCCGAUUUGGGUCGCGGAUCUCCAAUGCACCAGUCUAUGGCGCGGCACCAUGACCAGACCAGAAGCGCCGGGUCUUCGCCGGCCCACAGACCCCAGAGCCAGGCCCCUCCUCCUGCCCAAGAUGGUCUGACCAAGUUGUUUGGCUUUGGGGCUUCGUUGCUCAAUCAGGCGAGUACCCUGAUCAAUGUUGACCCUUUACCCACUGCCUCCACCCAGCCAAGCCCCGCACGAGGCAAUGUGGUCUUCAGUAAUGCAGCUUCUGACAACAGGCAGCAACAACAAGCGGCCCCUGGCACCAAACCAUUCAGCAUGGGGGGCCCUCAUGGUCCAACUCAAAUGGGUGGCCCUCAAGCGUCGAGCAGAAUGGGUGGCCCCCAAGCACCGAGCCAAAUGGGUGGCCCUCAUAAUGCGAGCAAAAUGGCUGGUCCUCAUGUGCAGAGCCAAAUGGGAGGCCCUUAUCCACCUGGCCAAAUGGGGGGUCCUCAUGCACCGAGCCAAACGGGAGGCCCUUAUCCACCUGGCCAAAUGGGGGGUCCUCAUGCACCGAGCCAAACGGGAGGCCCUUAUCCACCAAGCCAGACGGGAGGCCCUUAUCCACCAAGCCAAACGGGAGGCCCUUAUCCACCUGGCCAAAUGGGGGGUCCUCAUGCACCGAGCCAAACGGGAGGCCCUUAUCCACCAAGCCAGACGGGAGGCCCUUAUCCACCAAGCCAGACGGGAGGCCCUUAUCCACCAAGCCAGACAGGAGGCCCUUAUCCACCAAGCCAAACGGGGGGUCCUCAAACACAGAGUCAGAUAGGAGGCCCUUAUCCAUCCGGCCAAAUGGGGGGUACUCGUACUCUGAAUGAAAUGGGAGGGUCCCAAUUCAGUGGACCCCAUGCAUCAAGCCAGAAGCAGCAGACCACGCCCCAUCAACAAGGAAUGCCGCAAAAACAGUCACCCUUGCAUCAUCAGAAAGGACCGCAAGGACAGCAAUAUCAGCAAACACCUACUCAUCUGCAAAAGGCACUUCAGAAGCAGGAGCCCGUGGUGGCCCCCGUGCCUGCUCCAGAGCCUGUGAAGCCUAAAGUGAACUGUCCUCUUUGUAAAACGGAGCUGAAUAUCGGCAACUCCGACCCGCCCAACUACAACACCUGUACGCAGUGCAACGGCCAAGUGUGUAACCUGUGUGGCUUCAACCCCACGCCACAUCUGGUGGAGAAAAAGGAGUGGUUAUGUCUCAACUGCCAGACGCAGCGGCUCAUGUCCGGAGGCGGCCUCGAUGAUCCCCCACUUCCCGUUCCUCACCCGUCGCCCAAGCACCAGCCAAUGGGCUCGCCCCGUCAGCAGGCGCCAGCCAGUCAGCCAAGCCCUCUCCAUAAACCCACCAAUCAGCAGGGGCCCAGGCCCACGCAACCCCCCGCGCAGAAAGCGCUGGCGGGAACCGGUGGUAGUGGAUCGUUUGCGCCCAGCGCCGCCAAACAACCGACCGACCCCAAGACCGCAACACCAGCUACGGCACCGUUGUCGACCGCAGACACCCAGAAACAGCCAAAGGCCUCACAGGAGAAACCCAAAACCGAGCCUGAGAACAAAAUCGGCAAAGACACCAAAGCCUCCCAGAGGAAAGGAGAGCAGAUCACACCUAUCAAGGAAAUCAAGAAGUCCAGGCACUAUGAUGAUACAAAAAACAACAGCACCCAUGACUUGUCACGCAGCCCUCAAAGCCUCAGUGACACCGGCUACUCCUCGGAUGGUAUCUCCAGUUCCCACAGUGAAAUCACGGGUCUAAUCCAGGAAGAGGAAAUGAAACUGAGUGAGAGGGGGAUCAGUGGGCGGGGUUCCCCACCAAGUCCUUCUGAAAUCACCAAGCUCGAGAGCUCUAUGAGGCCUCUGUUGGAGAAGAGCCUUUCUGAAGAGAAGGUGGACAGACGGGGAAGGAAGCACAGAGACAGAGACUUGGAUGACAGAGGGAAGCAGCGCCCACGCUCCUUGUCAAUCCCGCCCGAUUCCUACGACUCUGAUGAGGAACUAGAAGAUAUACUAGAAGAAGAAGAAGAUGGAGGAGACUGGGAGGUUAAGCGGAAGGAAGGAAAGGAGGAGAAGAAAGAGAAGAAAAAGAAGGAAAAAGAAACUGAGCCCACAGAGAUGACAGAUGAGGAGUUCAUGAGGAGACAAAUAAUGGAGAUGAGUGCUGAUGAAGAUAAUGAGGAGGAAGAGGAUGAGAUGGAGGAGGAGGAAGAUGAGGAAGAUGAAGGAUAUGGCUACCAGAAACCCAAGAAAAACCACCACAAACACAUGAUCUCUGACUCAGGGAAAGAGAAAAGACGUCUUCAGCACCACUCCAGCAGUUUUGAGGAGGAACCUAAGAGCUCUACUGAUGUUUAUAAAGGCUCACUGGAGGAGGGUGAGGAAGAUGUGAUGGCAUCACAAGGAGGCUUGAGGCGCUUCAAAACAAUUGAACUCAAUAACACCAAUAGCUACAGCCGAGAUAUGGAGCUGGGCAACGAAAAUGACUUGAGCCUUGAUCGGGAACCAGAGCUAGAGAUGGAGAGCCUAACAGGAUCUCCAGAGGAGCGUUCUCGCGGUGACUACUCCUCUACUCUGCCAGCCACGUCAUCGUCAUAUGGCUCAGGCCAGUCACCUACUUCCAUCUCAUCAAUGGAAGAGGACAGUGACAGUAGCCCCAGCAGGAGGCAAAAGCUAGAAGAGGCCAAGCAACAGAGGAAAGCACGCCACCGCUCCCAUGGCCCCCUCCUUCCCACCAUUGAAGACUCUUCAGAAGAAGAUGAACUGAGAGAAGAAGAAGAACUUUUAAGAGAACAGGAGAAGAUGAGGGAGGUGGAACAGCAGAGAAUAAGGAGCACAGCCAGAAAGACCAAGAGGGACAAAGAGGAGUUGAGGGCUCAGAGGCGCAGAGAGAGGUCUAAGACACCGCCUAGCAAUCUCUCACCCAUAGAAGAUGCUUCUCCGACAGAAGAGCUGAGACAAGCUGCAGAAAUGGAAGAGUUGCAUCGUUCUUCUGCUUCUGAAUAUUCCCCUCAGAGUCUGGAUUCAGAGGCUGAGGGAUACGAGUCCAAACUUUACAAGUCAGGCAGUGAAUACAACUUGCCUACCUUUAUGUCUCUCUACUCACCAAUAGAGAAAUCAUCAACUACAACCACCACCACAGCACCAUCGUCAGCUUCCAAAUCCCUGAAGAGCGCUGAGGAGGUUUAUGAGGAGAUGAUGAAGAAGGCAGAGGUGCUUCAGAAACAACAACAGCAGCAACAGCAGCAACAUGGAAGACAUGGGCAGUACUAUGAGGAGGACGUUAAUGGACAAGGUUAUGAAGAAGAGUAUGAAUAUGACCAACAUCAAGCAGGGUAUGAUAAUGAGGCAGCAGAGACAGAAAAAGAUAUUUACGAGGAGAUCAGACAAACAUCUCAGAACAUUACCAAGAUGCAGCAGGCCACUAAUGAGCAAGUAGAGAUUGAGAUUGAGAGCUCCUACUCAGACAAACAGCUCCUAGACACAGGCUCAGCUUUUGCUAAGCUGUUGGAGCAGAGCAAUGCUCUACUCACUCCAGGGACCAGCCCCACCCAGAUCUCAGCUCCUGUCUCCUUUGUUGAGACUGGAGGACGAAUUCCUGAUGUCAGAGUAACACAGCAUUUCUCUGCAAAGGAUGGUCACAAAGAUAGGAUUAAAACCCAAGCAGGAAAGAAUGGAAUAACUCCAACAGUAGCUGCCACCACCAUUGCAGCUUAUGGAGUCUAUGCCAGGGAUGCAGUGACUAUUUCUCAGACUAGUUCAAGCCCCACUAUGACGACUACUCAGUCAGGUAUAUAUGGCCGUCACACUUCAAGCCCUACCACAUCUUCAACUACAGUCUCAAGUGUCUGCAGCAAGAUUGCAGAGAUAACCCAGGCCUACAGUCAACGAGAAGUGAUUACCAGAAGGGUAGGGGAAGCUAGGGAUGUCCAAGUGCGAGACAGCUCAACAUCGUCCACCGAGAGAGUUAUUGAGCCACGCUCCCCAAAGUAUACUACAUACUACAGGAGCACCAGUCCUCCUCUUUCUCCAUCACCACCACCACCACAGAGUCCUACUCGUUCACCCUCCAGAAGGAAUACAGCUGAAUUCUCUACACAGACGUUCAGUUCAGCAUUGCGGAUGUCUGAGUCAGCUGUAUCCGGACCUACAUCUCCAGUGACAGCGCAGGGGACCCAAACAUCUCAUCGAUCAGUUUCCCCAAGGCUCCAUCGUCAGCAGUCCUCCCAGGAUGUACAGUACUCCCCACCGCCAGGUCAGGCUAGACCAAUGACAGUCAACACAGCUACUUCUCCCCUGUCAUCGCCUACCCGAUUUAGCCGCCAAUCAACAUUUGACAAUUACUCCCCAUGUAGCAGCCCUCCGGACACACCACCGUACCAACAUUCCCCUACACGUAGCUUCUACCGAACACAAAGGGUGGAGAAAGUAAAUGUGGGAACAAGUAUGGUCACCACAGCCGGCACUUACACUAGAGGGUCCAUGUCAAUGGACAACAUCUCCCUCUGCCGAAUAUCUACAGUCCCGGGUACUUCUAGGGUAGAGCAGGGCCGUAUGAUCCAAGGCGGAAGUGUUGUGGACCUCAGAACAGCAAGCAAACCAGCUCCUACUAUCAUGACUGACCAGGGAAUGGAUCUCACCUCCUUGGCCACUGAAAGCAGGAAAUACCAUGGUGGAUCAGACGGUAGUAGACAUUCCACGAUUGUGCAGCCACUGAUUAUGAACUUGAAUACCCAGGAGAUAAUCACACCAACAACUGUGAGUGUCACAGUGGCUGCGUCCAUGUUCAUGACCCAGCCAAAACAGCCAACAAUCUAUGGUGAUCCCCAUCAAUACCAAAUGGAUUUGGGUCAGGGCAUUGGUUCGGCUGUGUGUCUUUCCCAAAACAGACCACCAAUUUCACCUCCAACUGACCCAACAAUACCCAAAAUUGAUGCCAAACUGGAAGACCUCAGUAUCCAACAGAGAGAGCUACAAAUACAGCAAGAGAAGCUACAGAAACAACAACAGCUCCUUGAACACCAGUUGCAGCAGCACCAUCAGAUGCAACAUCACCAGCAACAGGCAUCUGCUUUGGCUAGGUACAGCCUUACAGGCCAGAUCUCACCUUUACUGAAAAAAGAUCUACUUGUCAGUCAGACAAGCACCGCCUCAGCUGUCGUCAGUGCUGUAUCACCGGUCAUUAACCCUGAUCUGUAUGGCACUGGUCCUGUUGAGCUGAAAGGGAAGCCUAGUCCUCCUGGUUCGAUAUCAGGAAGUAAUUUAUCACAUAGCAUGGUAGUACAGAUGGAUGGAGGGCCAGAGCAGGCCAGGGCAAUGACUCAGCUUUUGACAGUAGAAGUAGGACAGGAUGCUAUGGACCUGACAGGAGGCCAAAUUAAACCUGAAAACCAACCAGCUUGCUGUGAUGUUGUUUACCGACUUCCAUUUGGCGGAAGCUGUGUUGGUGGUGAGAAAGAGGGAAUACGACCUCCAUCUGCCCCACCACUUACCUAUGAGUCAGACCAAGAAAGACUACCCGAAGGGUAUCAUGAAUAUCCAAUGGAUGAGCGUAAGGCCUACACACUACCUUUCCCUGGAAGGCUCCAGCCUUCAAUGUCUGAUACAAACCUAGCUGAAGCUGGGGUACAGUCUUAUCAUCCUAAGCUAGAACCACAUCUCCAAGGCCCAGGAGAACUUGCCAUGGAUCUAACUGCUAUGAAACAGGGUUAUGGAGGAUUUAUGGGGAUGCAGUAUGGCUCCUAUACAGAUUUACGCCAUGGAGGAGACAUCACAGCCCAAACGCUGCCUAUAAGGAGAUAUAAUUCCUUGUCCAACAUCAGUUCAGACUAUGGAUACUCUGCUCGAGACAUUGCUAAUUUCCAAGAAGCUAACUUAGCUCAGUACAGUGCUACAACUGCCAGAGAGAUCAGCCGGAUGUGUGCAGCUCUCAAUUCCAUAGAUCGAUAUGCAAGCAACCCAGACUUGAUGCAGUUUGGUAAUUUGGGGAGAGGAACCGGACCUGGGGCCUCCCGACUAGCAGCAGGUCUUGGCAUGAGACAAAACCACUUUUUUGGACUUGAUGGGAAGCCAAUCUCCCACAGUCAAGCAUUAACCAACCUUAUCAAUGCAAGACAGGCCAGUCUCAGAGCCAUGUACCCUGCUGCUAUUAGGUCUGCUGAUGGGAUGAUCUACUCUACUAUUCAGACCCCCAUUGCCUCUACACUUCCCAUCACAACACAACCUGCCUCUGUUCUACGCCCACUAUUGAGGGGGGUCUACAGGCCAUACCCUUCUGCAAACAUGACACCUGUACCCUUAACUAGUCUGAGCAGACUACCAAUGAGCCCAAGAGUACCCUUAACUGUGCAAGCUCCACUCCGCUACCCAGCACCAGGUCUUCUCCAGAUAUCAUCAACCACAGCCACUUCAAGUGGUGCAGCAACAAAUGUUGGCCCAGCAGGUGCCCCAAUGUCGGUUUCCAUUACAACUACUAGUUCGACUGUGCAGGAUGAACCAGUUUACCUCGGUAAAAGUGUAUCCUCGUUAGUUGAGGUACAAGGAACAAUUGCCAUACCAAUGGAGCAACAGCAACAGCCAAUAAACCUUUCCCAGGCCCACCUGAACAGUCAACAACAACAACAGCAACAAGUUGCAUCUGCUCAGCAGUCACAUCAGCCUCCUCAAGCAGCCCAUGCCUACCUGUCCUCAACUCCUUCACACACUCAUAGCUACACCCAACCACCAGUCGGCCCCUCUGUUCCCACUAGUGGCUUGCCCAUUUCAGGGGGUCUUCCCCCUUUCCCCCCACCAGGUGCCGUACACAAGGAGGGUGAAACCGAGGCAGAAAGACUGCAUCGGCAGCAGGAGCAGCUUCUGCAGAUGGAGAGGGAGCGCGUGGAGCUCGAGAAACUCCGGCAACUGCGCCUGCAGGAGGAGCUAGAAAGAGAAAGGAUAGAGCUGAAGCUGCACAGGGAUAAAGAGCAGAUGAUUGUGCAGAGAGAGUUACAUGAGCUGCAAAACAUCAAGGAUCAGAACAAGCAGUUGAAAAACUUUCAAGUUAACUCAGUUAAACAGGUCCUACAGCAGCAGCAGCUUGAACGUGAGAAGCAACUUGUUCUCCAGAGGGAGCAGUUAGCGCAGCAGAAGUCGCAGCUGGACCAGAUCCAGUCUCUACAGCAUCAGCUCCAGCAGCAGCUAGUGGAGCAGAAGAGACAGAAAACGGCUGCAGCUCAGAACAUACAGCUUGACGCAAAUGGACAGCCCCUGCCCCCUUACGUCGACUCUCAACUUGGCUUCCGCUCUCUGCCCAACUCCUCAUCAGAGAUGUGUCUGAGGAGCCAGCAGGAGCACGUGGAGACCAGGAGCAACAUGAGGAAACACAGCUCCAUGACCAGACUGAGCCGGGACAGCUUAGAUGGAGACGGCGUGGUGUUUUACGGUUCUCCCCGCAGGAUCGUCGACAGCUCUGUGCAGACAGAUGAUGAAGACGGAGAGGAGAGGUACAUGAUGCGUCAUCGUACCAGGAGGCGUGGUCGUAGUGUUGACUGCUCAGUUCAGACAGAUGACGACGAGGACAAGGCUGAGACUGAACAUCCAGUCCGGCGAAGACGUUCCCGUUUCUCCCGGCACGCUGAGUCCAGUGCAACUGGCAGCAGCACUGCUGCUACAUCCACCACGGCCUCUGACAGCAAGACCGAAACUCCCAAGAUGGUAUCCUCUAGUAUCGCCAUCCAGACCAUCAGGGAAAUGUCUUGCCAGACGGAAGUGGAGCACUUAGGAAGAGUCUCCCCAGCGAUCCACGUGACAGUACCAGACCCAAAUAAAGUAGAAAUUGUGCACUACAUUUCCGGACCUGAGCGGACCCAAAAAGGACAGUCUCUAGCAUGCCAGACCGACACAGAAGCACAGUCACAAGGUGUUGUAGCUCCCCAGCUCAGUGUACCAACCACGGUCAGUCCAUAUUCGUCCUCUACCAGUACUGGAACGCAACAAUCCGGUUCUUCCGACCUUCUGAACCAGCAACGCCAGCAGCAGCACAUCGCAGCAAACGCAGCCAAGUUUGAGCGCCGCCGCCCCGAUCCGCUCGACAUCAACUACCAGCCUCACAACCACCUCCACAACGAGUCCCUCUCCACCAUCAUCCGGCAGCAUCAGACAGCCCCCAAAUCCCCACAGGUCCUCUACUCUCCUGUCUCCCCGGUGUCCCCUCACCGCCUACUAGAGAAUUCUCUGUCCAGUGAGAGGCUGAACAAAGCCCAUGUCACACCUCAGCAGAAGUCCUACACAGCAGAGUCUCCCCAGAGACACCCUUCCGUUCCCCGGCCAAUUAAGAGCACCCAGAGGUCCAUGUCAGACCCCAAGUCCCUCAGUCCCACCACAGAUGAGCACACCAGGGCUAGGCUGUCCCUCUACCAACAACAAGUGCUCCAGAGCCAGCUGGCAGCUCUACAGCAAAGCUCACUGCUCCGCAAGGUCAAGCGAACCCUGCCCAGCCCUCCUCCAGACGAGAAUACCACAUCAGCACAUCUGCCUAUGAUGGCACCUUCCCUUCAACAAGUUUACCUGCCCUCCGUGCCCAGCCUCAAGCCCAGCUCGAGGUCUGGCUUGGCUGCCAAAGCCAGCCUCCUCAAAGACCUCACCCACGAACUGAAGGCCGUGGAGCAAGAGUCAACCAAGCUGAGAAAGCAGCAGGCUGAACUGGAGGAGGAAGAAAAAGAAAUUGAUGCUAAACUGAGAUACCUAGAGCUAGGGAUCCACCAGAGGAAAGAGACACUGGUCAAGGAGAGGGAAAGGAGGGAUAUUGCCUACCUGAGGUGUAUGGGGGACACUAGGGACUACAUGUCUGACAGUGAGUUGAAUAAUCUACGUUUAGCAGCUGCAGCUGCAUCACAUGAGACCAAUGGGCUACUGUCAACAAGGCCAAGCACUGCCCCUUUGAGUCAUUUUGCCAGCGACCUAAACACAGCAGCCCAGUACCCACCCUCCUCAUCCUUCAUCUCAUGUCAGUACCCCCAAAGCCAACAAGCAGCACCAAUGCCGCAAUCCAAUGUGCCGUACCAGGCUUCAACAUUCAAUCAACCUCCCUAUCCCUCAGUGUCCCAGUCCCAGGCAGUGCCACAGCCCACGCCCCUCCAAAGCCAUGUCCCACCACUUGGACCUUCUUACCCGUCUCAAACAUCCUACCCCUCCCACACCUAUCCCCAAACUGGCCCCCCCUACCCGCAGACAGACAUUGGUUUACCAGCUGCACCUCAGCCUCAGCCUCAGCCUCAACCAGUGCAUACAGGUUUUGGACCCGCACCACCUGGUCAGCCCCCAUACCCCACCCACAGCUCACCCUAUCCCAGCGCUGUGUCCUCCUACCCCGGCCAGACUACCCCAUACCCUGGGCAGCCCCAAGCUGAUAUCCUGACGGUCCACCAGGGACGACCAAGACAGACUUCUCUGGCCGAUCUGGAGCACAAGAUGCCCACCAACUACGAGACGAUCAGCAACCCCACAGUUGUGGUCACCACCACUGCCCAGGACUGUAACUAUUCCAGUGCAGCCCCCUCUUAUGGUCAGUACACUGGAAUGACAACAAUGGCCAGCUCCUAUGGACCAUAUGGGUCAGCACCAGUGUCCAGCAGCUACGGUGGGUACUCUACCAUGCCACCCAGCACUUAUGGCCAGUAUACUUCAUCUUCAGCUAAUUCAUAUGGCCAGUACACCACAACCACUGCUAAUACUUAUGGCUAUACCACUACCACAGCCAGCUCGUAUGGACAGUACACUUCUACAGUCUCCAAUGUCUAUGGGCACUCUGUAGACAGUCCCUCCAUAUACAGUUCUUCAGAUGGGAUGUAUGGGGCUCCUGGGUUAGAGCAGAACAUUCCAAGAAACUACAUGAUGAUUGACGACGUAAGCGAGCUUACGGCAAAAGACGGGCUGGGCACGACGACAGGGGACAUGAUGCAUCAUGGCGGCAGUGGGCGUUACCCAGGCGACAUCCACGGCCACAUCACCACGGUUGGCAGUUCUACACGUGGGGGAACUGGCAACUCCUACGGCAGGGCACCUGAAGAGGAAGCAGCGAUGCAGGAAGAGCUGUACGACCACCACGGCAGGGGUAAGAGCAGCUACAGGCACGGACCUCUAGGGGGCAGCAGCAGCAGCGUGAGCUCUAGCAUGGGUGGGGGAUCCUCCUAUCACUCUGACUACGACUACAAACACGGCAGCAUCCGCUCCGGGGUACAGAAACCUAUGUCAUCCACCAGAAGUCUUCUGGCUCCUGCUGUCAUGUCCUCCAAGCGCAACAAGCACAGGAAACUGGGGAGUAUGGAGCAAAAAAUCUCCAAGUUUUCCCCCAUUGAGGAGGCUCGGGAUGUAGAGGCAGACCUGGCCUCCUAUUCCUCAACAACAGGUGGGGCUUACCCUUCCUCUCACAUUCGAGGGCGCCAGCUGAUCGAGGAUUACGGCUUUAAAAGCAAUACCUACGAGGGCGGCAGUGGCAGCACUCAUGGUAGUCGACACUAUGGUUCAACGGUGGAGGAGGACGAUCGGAUUUACUACAACUCCACCGGCCGCUCCCGUUCCACCGGCUACGGCAUGGACAAGAUCUCAGCCAGAGACUACUCUGGGUAUCGCAGCCGAUCCUAUGAGAGGGACGACCGCUCCUACCGAUCUGGCUACAGCCGAGGGCGCAAUCCAACCCGGCAGUACUCUGAAGAGGAGAGCCCACUUAGCCCCUUGAGGAGGUUCAUGGGUUCGGGGCGAUCAUCAAGCUUAGGUCCCGACCCGUACGACAGCCGUAGCGGUAGAUAUCAUUACUAUUAUGGCCAGUAUGGUUCCAGCCACUCGUUGCCAGAUGUACAAGACCACAUACAAGACCUUCCCAGGACACAUGUCUACAAAUCGGAUGAUACAUACAUUAUUGACGAUUAUCAUUGUGCUGUGUCAGACAGUGAAGCCUACCAUCUGGGCCAAGAAGAAACCGACUGGUUUGAGAAGCCCCGCUCCAGUUCUCGACACUACGGCAGCAGCCACUCAUCUGGAAGGAGCCGGCAUGGUGUGAAACAUACCUACCAUGAUUAUGACGAGCCUCCUGAGGAGGACCUGUGGCCCCAGGAUGAGUACGGCCACGGAGGGCGGCACUCUACAUCCCGCGACCACAGGCACCAAAGCAGCUCUGGCCGUCACUCAUCCGCAUCACGUCAUUCAGAUGAGCAGAGGUCCUCGAGGUCCGCCAAGGGGCACCCCAAAGACCCAUCGAUGCGCCAAGACCCUUCAGCGCGAUCCUCAUCUACAGGGAGGCGUGGUGAGUCUAGGUCUGGAGGGUACCACACUUCGGACUACUCCCGGGAUCCGUCUGGGCACCAUCACGGACAGCGCUCCUCCAGACAGGGGGACCCACACCGUUCCUCGCGUAGCAAGUCACAGCAGCAAGUGGACAUGCAAGGCCAACCACCUGGCUCCUCCAGGUCCGGCAGCUCCGGCCGGGCUCAGGGCCCCGCUGGAGGGCCUACAGGAUCGGGGCGACAGAGUGGUCCAGGUUCCCAGACCGACGGAGCGCAAGGACAGAGGACCCAGCUCCAACAACAAGCCCAGACGUCAGCGGCCAGGUCAGGGCAGCCUGGUGCCGCAAUGACCACCGGCCCUCAGCAGCAGCCCUCAGCCCAGGGACAGGGCAUGGGCAUGGGGCAAGGCCAAGCCAAGCCAGGACAGAUGGGUCCAGCGGGUGGACCCAUGGGUCAGGCCAGGCAGACAGGUCCUGCAGGAACCACUCCAGCCAACAUGGCUAAAAUGGACAUGCCUCCAGUGACGGCUAUUGGAGCAAAGGCCGCGCCGGUCAUGGCCACCAAAGCUGCCCAGCCCCCACUCACAGGCAUAGGCUCCAAGGCAGCUCCUCGACCAGGAGGCAUUGGCAGCGCGGCAGCAGGACAGCCCGGCAUGGAGGGAGACAGCAUGUUGUCCAAGCUCAUCCCUGGAAAUGCCGCUGAGCAGGCGGGCAAACUAGGAGACGCUAUAAGCGGUUUUGGCAAGAAGUUCACCUCCUUAUUCUGAAGUGCUACAAUUGAGGACGAUGUAAAUGUUAAAUGACCAAAUCACGAGGCCCCGUACCAGAAAAACCUGUGAAGUUCCCCUCCAGCUUUUGUUUUACUAACACAGAGAGAGAAGAGAGCGAGCGAGCGAGAGAGUAACAGAGCGGAGAGAUGAGCAAACUGCCAACCAGAACUGGAGUCCUCUGGGUUCUUCAUAUCACAAUCAUGUCCAGCCGAACAUCCAUCUUAAGAAGCACUCUCCUCCAUCCAGCGGCCAAAGAGUUUGUCUCCACCGGACUACUAACACAUCUACGGCCAACAAACCAACAAAAGAGCUACUGGAGGCUAAAAAAACGACAACAAAUGUUGUUGCUUGGCUGCUCUUCCUCCACGCCAGUAGAGAGAGCUCUGCUGCCACCAGCGGAGAACCACCCAGACGAGCAGAGUCAAAGGAAGAAGUGUGGCUCUGGAGUUAAAAGUGCAGCAUUAAUGGGGAAAAAUGAAAGGGUGGAGCAAUUCUACUCCUAUAUGCUGACGACGUCAUUGUUUAUAUAUGACGGCUGCUUUACCACAGGAGGCACGGUGGCAUGCUAGGAUCCUUCAUUUCACAGUCCUGUGCUCAAGGUUGAAAUAACUCUCUCUCUCUCUCUCUCCUCUUUUCUAUCUUUUCUCAAAGUAGAAAAGAAAGUGUGCAAAAUGGAAAACUUGCUGGGUUACUGCAGGUUUUUCUGGUACUAAAGACCUCGUUUCAUCACCCGCUGUGAUGUUAAUGGAAAUGUCACGUUGAAUGACUACGACAUCGUAACGCGUCUCUUUCCACGGCUUGUUUAUAUCUACAUUCCAGAUUGGAACUGUUGAAACCUUUCGCUCACUCGGUUCCUCACCUCUCUGCGUUUCUUGAAUGCCGAUUUUCUUUUUUUUCAAUCCUCACCAGACAAUCCUCAACUUGCCAUGACUUUAAAGAAGUACAUAGUGAAUAAAAAAAAAAAUGAAUAGGAAUUUGGAAUGCAUGGAACUUUAUAUCCAAGACCUUACACUGUUCAUCAUUACUUAACAGAGGCCACACUGGCAAACACUUCGCAGCUCGACGGCGUAAACAGUGACGAGGAAGAGAGAUUCCCGGAGCAACAAACACAAAAUGAGCCACGGGAAUAAGAGGAGCCUUUUGGGUUUUUUUUAUAAGGGGAAAAAAACAGUAUGUGGUCAAGUGUUUUUUUCAGCCAUUGCAAAGCCAUUAGGAGAACAGUUACCUGCAGGGCUUCUGGUGAUGGAGUUUCUCCAACUGCUCCACAACAUUCAGCUCGCAGAUGUUUCCCAAAGGGUUGUUGGUGGUUAUCAUUGUGCUUUCUUUUUUUCAAAUGUUGUUUUGUUAAUUGCCUGGUUUUUAUGUUGCAGGUUACCAAUAUCGCCUUAAUCAUUCUUAAAUAUUGUUAUUUUGAAGUCCUACUUGCAUUUUUUUAUUACACCCUGUAACACAUAUAUUUAUUUUAGGUAGUGAUACCAACAGAACACUGGCCACAGUGAGAUUAAUUUAUAUUUUUUAAAUCAACUUUGUUUUUGAUAAUUGUUUGUGAUAUUUAUUUAUCUAUGUUGACUUCAUCACACCCCCUGUCAAUUUUCUGACUUGUAUUUAUUAUCAAUACUUUUAAAAAAAGCAAUAGAGAAAGUGGUAAGAAAGUAGAAAGCACAAUCUCGUGUCAUCUUAAAAGUUUUGUGGAACAGAAGCGCGUCGCCUCCGUCUGUCUUACGACCACCGACGUACCACUCAAGUCUGACUUAAAUGUACCAACAGACCUACUUAAGCAUCGUAACACUGCUGGACCAAUACGUUGGGGAGCAGGUGCUGACCCAUGAACGACAGUUUGGUACCACCCGGAUCUUCUCCUUCUCCACCCUACAGUGAGACGUCAGGCCUUCCAUCGCGUCGGGGGCGUUUGGAGUGAUGCGCUGCUCGUGGCGGCCAACCGGAGUCUGAUCUGAAAGCACUGCAGGGCAGCAGAGAGGCACUGAAACGCAGACCAGUCACUCGCCGCGUCGGAACCGGACCAGUCGGAACCGGACCAGUCGGAACCGGACCUGCCGUCGCCGUCGCCCGUGUGGGCUUCGGCUUUCGAUGUGACCCUUCUGACCCCCCCACCCGAGAUCAAUGUUCACUGGUACGCACAUCAGUGUGUGUCUUCACUCUGACAGACGUGCACAGCUCACGUGAAAGCACACUAGAAAAUGGUGACAAAGAAAAAGAAAGGGGGAAAAAAAACAAGAACAAAGUCCGCACUAACGUGACUGAAGAACCCAAAGGUAACACACUUGUUGUUGUGUCACAAAGUCACUCGCCUUUUUUAACUCUUCAUUUUCUAUCGUGGUGGCGUCCAGACCUGUAAGCCAACUCGCUACAGACCUUCUCCCUCCUCAAACUGUCGGUUGUCAUGGAAACUUCUCAGGUCAGUGUUCUCCCUGCUGUCGUUCCUGCAGUGCAUUGUGGGAUCUGCGGUACUCAAAACCUACUCUGUCGGGCCAAACAUUGCGAGGCCUUCAGCAAAACCCAACGAACCAACCAACUUCUGCUGUAUAUUGUCUGUGUGAACGCUCGCUGGGAACCUUUGCAUGCUGCCCGGCGCAGAAAACCUCAAAGUCACCUCUAUAUUGUUCCGUUCCUGUAUGUGUGUGGGGGUCCGUAUGCGUGCGUUUAACGACCAUCAUCCAAGUGGAAAAGAAAAUAUGACACGAGUUCAAACGCAACAAAUGUGGUGGACAGAAGAGGCGACCUCUCAUCUCAAGUCCUUCUAUGCAAUGAAUCGGAUUUGGGGGAAGAAAAAAAAAAAAAAAAAGACAGGAGGAGGAGAAGGGAUUCGAAUACACAAGUGGGAAAAGUCACUCAUUCAUCUAUCACACCUGGUUCAUAGUGCGCUUCUUGAUAUAACUAAUGUCAAGAUUUAAAGAGAGAACUGGAUAUAAAGGAAACAGAAAUGUGAAUGAGGAAAAGCAAACAUCCCAUAAAAGAUGCUUUCCGGGGACAAUUAUCUAUUUCCCAGAAGUAACUAGGAAAUAAAAUCCAUUUUAAAUGGAUAGUUGUGCAGAAAAGAAAAUAUAAUAAAAUGAAAAGUUGUCCAGAGAUUUAAUAUAAAGAAAACUAAAAGAUUUCUAUGACUAAAUAUGAUAUAUAUAUAAAGAUUUAGAAACAUAACAAUAAACUUAGAAUAUAUUCCCUAAUAUGGUUUGUGUCUCAUCAGGGUUGAAGAAGAAAUACUUCUUUAUUUUAUUUUAGCGAUUUAGUUUGAUGGCAAAAAAGUCCUGGUUGAUCUGACUAAAAAUACUGCUGGAGCCAACGAAUGGCUAUUGACUAUUCAAGGCAUUCCAAAAUUGAAGUGUGUGUGUGUGUGUGUGUGUGUGCGUGUGUGCAAAAAUGUGUUUAAAGGUGCACUGCCAAAACACACGUAGAUUUAAUUUAAAAGCUAAAUACACUGUGGAACAUUAAUUUCUGGGGAGAAAGUAAUCUGCAUAUUAUUGUGUAUUUGUAUUUAUUUGAGUUGCAGCAUGAUAUUAAACAGAUUAUUAUAUAGAAUUUAUUUAUGAAAUUAGAGGAUUGAAAACAUCCCUCAACUCGCAGCUCCUUUACAAAUACACUUUACUGCAUUUCACUGGAACUGUAAAAUAAGUCGGUAUCUAUUUUUUGUGAAACAUUUAUGAGAUGAUUUAUGAUUUUUAUGUCAGAAUUUAUUUUCUCAUGCGGGAUAGAGAGCUGGAUGUGAGUCGUAGUUUCUUUUUCAGCCUCGAGAGAGAUUUUAAGGUUGUGAUUAUUCCCAGGUACACUGCCACCAGAUCGGUGACUUCUCCGUGAGAGCUUAAAAUUAGUGUCAAAGUAGAACAAAUAAUGACUUUAAAGUUACCCAAAUUAAUACCAACUUCCUCUAUUGUGUGUCGUAUGUUCUGGAAGUUUGUAAUAAAAUAUAAUGUUCAAUAAAAUGUUCCUCAAUCACUUUUGCCUCAGGAAAGAACACACUAAACGCAGAUGUUCAUAGAUAGUCAGAAAAGAAUAUGUGUGUUUACGCAGGCGCAAUGAAUCCGAUAUUUUUUCUCACACCUUAAGACACGGACGUGAUCGUACCGCUGCUGUCAACUAGAGGGGUCGGAAACAUUUGACGGAACGCAGCCAUGAAGCCAUGUGUGUUGAAAUGUGUCCAAAAAAAAAACCAGUUUCAGCUCCUGUGUGAAUACAACCACUGAAGGUGACUUAAAUAUGCAUAGCAGCAAGGGCUUUUAUACUACUAUACUGGUCUCUGAAGAAAGCCAUCCUUUUACUGCCCUCUAGCCAGUCGUGGUCUCUGUCUAUACUCUGCAUGGUGUCUGUCUAAAUCCAGGAGCGCAAGCUCAGACCACAGCAAUCACCAGUGGGCAAAAAUCACCGCGCCGCAGCCCCGGUUUCCAGAAGUGGUUGAAGCACAAAACGUAGAUGAUAAUAAAAGAUUACACUUCAAAAUGCAAAUACAAAUUGGAAUUGAGAUCUUCUCUGGAAGAGCGUCUUUAAGGCCCCGUCUAGUUUUGUUGAGUGCAAAAGAAUUUGGGGAGUUUGCGUUUAAAAGGCUCACAUUUCCAGACAUGGAGCAAAGAGAAGUUUCUUCCAUCAGAUUUGUGUUUAAAAGAAGUAUAAUCUCCAAAAAUCUUGAUUUGCCUUUCAAUCCGACGUCAAGAGUCUCAGCAAUAAGGUCGCAUUUACACCUUUUUUUCACCCUCUGUGGCACCGUUCUGGUAUCUGCAUUAGGCGUUUCUUUCUCACUUCACAGCCACGGGACGGAGAAAUGACAAACUUUUAGCGCCACGAAGAGUUCAAAAGAGUCAAGUCGGUUUUUAAAUGCAGCUUAUGAUGCUUUUGGGAAACCCGGACUGCGUGCGUUUGUGUGUUAACCAAAAAAGUAGCAGAAACUGAUUGUACGGUACGGAGUGUAGUAACUGUCACCACUGCUCUUGCUGUCAGUCGAUGUAAAGAAAGAUUAUAAAAUACACAAAAAUAUUAUAUUAUUAACAUAUGAAGAAGUAAAUGUUUCACAGGUGAGAGGUUGUGAAGAAAAACAGCAAUUAUGUGGAAAGAAACAUGAAAAAAUCCAUCCUUCAUUGUAAAACCAUCAGGGAGCGUUUACUCAUCUUUCACCUGCAAUGAAUCUGUAAAAAUACAAGUGCAUGACCUGGGCGGGCGGGCAGCCCCCCCCCUUCCUCUACCAUCCCUUGACCUUUCAGACCUCCUCAACCUUUGACCUCCCACCAGUGUAAAUACCAGAUGAGAACCAGAGUCUGCUUUGAACAAACAACAUGUAAACGAAGAACAUGUUCUAUACAACAUGUACAUCUGAAACAUGCUAACACACACACACACACACACACACACACACACAGGCAUGAGAGAGGCCUUUGCACACUACACAGUGACACAAGCUGGCGCGUAUGCAAGCCUGAACCUCCCUGCCAGAAACAUGAAAAAACAACAAAAAAACACAUAACAAGCAAAGAGCAGCUGCUGAUGUGAAUAAUAAAUGGAAAAAAAUGUGCGGACUGUUUAAGACUCAUGAAAAAAAAUAGUAUUCGGAUAUACAAAAAAAAAAAAAAAAGAUAAAAACAUAUUGGUCUGUGCAGAGUUUCUAUACAUGUUGUGUUUGUAAAAUGGAAAUUUACAUCAAAGAAAGGGGGAGGACAGCGUUCUUGCUUCCAUUUCAUUUUUGGGGCGAUGAAGAGGGUGAGAUGGCAAAUUGGACAAUGGAGAUGUGAAGAAAAGAAAUAUAAUAAAAUAACCCAACUGAAUGAAAAAAAGAGGGUGAAAAUAAAAUAGAGAAUAAGGUCAAGAGCCUAAAAAUGAUUACAAAGUGUUCCAUUCACUGUUGUAAGUGCAAUGAGCUAAACUUCCUGUUCCCCCCCCCCCCCCAUUGUAAAACCUUGUGUAUGUUUCCGUGUUUUCCUCCUAUAAAUGGGUGUAGUAGACCUGGUGCAUCAUGCCAUGUAAUGUGAUGAAUGACAAAUUAUGACCUUACAAUACAUUUCAAUCAGGAAAAUAAAGAAAAGACAAAUAAAGAAAAAAAAAAC